UCGGAUUGAAGAAGCCAGGAGGAAAGAUCUUCUCCAACAUUCAGAGCAACACAGGCGCCAUUCUUUCCAUUUCUGGAACCACGGUCUAAGAUAAUUCCUUAGCACAAAGCUAAUGGAAGAAAUUGCUCAACUCCGCUAGCACUUGCCAGACAUGAUCAGGGACAUAGCCUCAAACCAUCACCGGGAGUAGGCGCUCAAGCCAUACGUGGUAAUCAUGACUUUUGAGCCCGUUGAUUCGCAUAGUAGCUAGGUUCACUCCCCUCUUCAAAUUCGCUGCAUACCCAUCAGGGAACAUUAACGUUUGG
RNAcentral lists this long non-coding RNA (305 nucleotides) under Setaria viridis. Its description in RNAcentral is "long non-coding RNA (SVIR_LNC008871)". The record is from RNAcentral. Lineage: Eukaryota; Viridiplantae; Streptophyta; Magnoliopsida; Poales; Poaceae.